CUUUGCCCUGAUAUAUCUUUGAGAGAGUGAAGAGUUGAGCCUGUCUGGACAGGGUAUCUGUUAAAAGUAAGAUUCUGGCAGACAGAUGCCUAGAUCUAUUCAUCUUAGAGCUGCCCAAGACAAAUUUGUAGUCCUCCAGGUGACCCCAGUGAACACUACAAUGAAAGCCUGUAUUCUGGGACGGUGAUACUGGAAAUCAUCUAUUAUGGACCUGAAGAAGUAAUCAGCACUGGAAACAACAGAAAUAGGAGGGGCUUUUAACAUUGGAAACCGCGUCUUGGUGCCUUCGUUGGAGAGGAACAUGAAGGCUGACCUCAGGGGAUCCGCAGGAAGCCCAGACAGAUACAGGCAGGGGCUGUCUGCAGACAAACCAUCUCUCCUGUUUCCACCCGCCUCUCCAACUUACCCUGUUUUUGUCUUUUUUUUUUUUUUCUUUUCCUUGAAGGUCUAAAUGCCUUUGAAAGCCUCUGGAUAAACAUAUAUCCACCGCUAUACCAAUUUGCACGGUUCUUUCCUAUUGAUUUAGCUUGUAAUUUAUUUCUUUAUUUCUGACAGAUUUCACUUACAUUCCCAGGUAAGGGCGAAGUGCUGAAGCUAGAAAAUUGUAAUUAAAUAAUCGGGUGACUGGCAGGCUGGGAGAGGCUCUGAAGCUGCUCUUCGUGGGUCAUCCAAAAGAAGGCAGAGACAGGAGUGGCAAGUGAUGGGAAAGCCAUGUGCUUGUAGGCAUGGGUAGGCUUUAUUUUUGUAAAUAAGAAUCAAAGCGGGUUUUCAUGCUGAAUUACGGCAGUUCCUUCAAAGUGCCAUGAAAUGGUAUAUUAUUACCCAUUGCAUGCCUGAUUCCCUCAGCCGGGAGCCGGGGAGGGAAAGGGCCCACUGUGUUAUCCACUGCCAGCUCUUUAAUGAGAUGAUGAGAUGUGCAAACUGCAUAGUGUGCAAUAUUUUUCUUCCCGACUCAAUCUAUAAUAAGUCGAUAGCCCGCUGAAACCCAGGGUUUGGUGCAUUUUUCCAAUUUACUUGCUGUCGAUGACUCUGAAAGUGCUGAUCCCAUCAAACCACCCCUCUCCCACACAGAUUUCAAUAACUUGGGAAAA
Bubalus bubalis (water buffalo) is the source of this 1091-nucleotide long non-coding RNA. RefSeq lists it as uncharacterized. The transcript has 3 exons. Lineage: Eukaryota; Metazoa; Chordata; Mammalia; Artiodactyla; Bovidae. The record is from RefSeq and is a predicted model, not a curated record.